Molecule: ribosomal RNA, 401 nt
Filed under: uncultured bacterium
Lineage: Bacteria
Description: bacterial SSU rRNA
Rfam family: Bacterial small subunit ribosomal RNA
Source: RNAcentral
GACGAACGCUGGCGGCGUGCCUAACACAUGCAAGUCGAGCGGGGUCCAUCCGGUAGCAAUACCGGGGAAGACCUAGCGGCGAACGGGUGAGUAACACGUGAGAAACCUGCCCCGAAGUCUGGGAUAACCCGAGGAAACUCGAGCUAAUACCGGAUGUCUUCUUCUGAUCGCAUGGUCGGAUGAAGAAAGAUUUAUCGCUUCGGGAGGGUCUCGCGGCCUAUCAGCUAGUUGGCGGGGUCACGGCCCACCAAGGCGUCGACGGGUAGCUGGUCUGAGGGGACGAUCAGCCACACUGGGACUGAGACACGGCCCAGACUCCUACGGGAGGCAGCAGUGGGGAAUAUUGCGCAAUGGGCGAAAGCCUGACGCAGCAACGCCGCGUGCGGGAUGAAGGCCUUCGG